RNAcentral lists this transfer-messenger RNA (355 nucleotides) under Bacillota bacterium. RNAcentral describes it as "Firmicutes bacterium (anaerobic digester metagenome) transfer-messenger RNA". It matches the Rfam family "transfer-messenger RNA". From Rfam's summary of the family: Bacterial tmRNA, also known as 10Sa RNA or SsrA, is named for its dual tRNA and mRNA-like properties. Its role is to liberate the mRNA from a stalled ribosome. To accomplish this part of the tmRNA is used as a reading frame that ends in a translation stop signal. The record is from RNAcentral. Lineage: Bacteria; Bacillati; Bacillota. RNAcentral also lists the same sequence under 1 other name.
GGGGGUGAAAUGGUUUCGACGAGGGUAGAAGAGGUAGGAGAAGCGAGCCCAGGACCAUGGCCUGGUUAAAACAUGGAACGGCUAUAACUGCCAAACAAGAAUACGCACUCGCCGCUUAGGAAAAAGCGACGCGCCCCUCUUUUCCGUGCUUGCCGGAAAAGAAGCGGGUGUCAGAAAAGCAGGCUACCCGUAUUGAAGGCCGCUCUUCCUUUUAAACGGGGAAUCUGAAAAGAGAUAGUACCGGGAUAUCCGGCCCAGGGGAGAUUCCGGUAUGAAACUAAAACUGAGGCUACGCUCGUAGAUGCUCCUGCAGCUGUACUUUCGGACGCGGGUUCGACUCCCGCCACCUCCACCA